This 467-nucleotide ribosomal RNA is filed under the name uncultured bacterium. RNAcentral's name for it is "partial 16S ribosomal RNA". It matches the Rfam family "Bacterial small subunit ribosomal RNA", at positions 28 to 507 of the family's 1533-position model. The record is from RNAcentral.
GACGAACGCUGGCGGCGCGCCUAACACAUGCAAGUCGAACGAGCGAGAGAGAGCUUGCUUUCUCGAGCGAGUGGCGAACGGGUGAGUAACGCGUGAGGAACCUGCCUCAAAGAGGGGGACAACAGUUGGAAACGACUGCUAAUACCGCAUAAGCCCACGACCCGGCAUCGGGUAGAGGGAAAAGGAGCAAUCCGCUUUGAGAUGGCCUCGCGUCCGAUUAGCUAGUUGGUGAGGUAACGGCCCACCAAGGCGACGAUCGGUAGCCGGACUGAGAGGUUGAACGGCCACAUUGGGACUGAGACACGGCCCAGACUCCUACGGGAGGCAGCAGUGGGGAAUAUUGCACAAUGGGGGGAAACCCUGAUGCAGCGACGCCGCGUGGAGGAAGAAGGUCUUCGGAUUGUAAACUCCUGUUGUUGAGGAAGAUAAUGACGGUACUCAACAAGGAAGUGACGGCUAACUACGUG